Molecule: ribosomal RNA, 460 nt
Filed under: uncultured bacterium
Lineage: Bacteria
Description: partial 16S ribosomal RNA
Rfam family: Bacterial small subunit ribosomal RNA
Source: RNAcentral
CCUACGAGUGGCAGCAGUGAGGAAUAUUGGUCAAUGGGCUAAGGCCUGAACCAGCCAAGUCGCGUGAGGGAAGACGGUCCUAUGGAUUGUAAACCUCUUUUGUCGGGGAGCAAAGAGGCCACGUGUGGCCGAAGUGAGAGUACCCGAAGAAACAGCAUCGGCGAACUCCGUGCCAGCAGCCGCGGUAAUACGGAGGAUGAGAGCGUUAUCCGGAUUUAUUGGGUUUAAGGGGUGGGUAGGCGGAUCAUUAAGUCAGCGGUAAAAUCGAGGGGCUCAACCCCUUUAAGCCGUUGAAACUGGCGGGCUGGAGUUGGAGAGAAGUACGCGGAAUGCGCGGUGUAGCGGUGAAAUGCUUAGAUAUCGCGCAGAACCCCGAUUGCGAAGGCAGCGUACCGGCUCCACACUGACGCUGAGGCACGAAAGCGUGGGUAUCGAACAGGAUUAGAUACCCCUGGUAGUC